UACGUAGGGUGCAAGCGUUAUCCGGAAUCAUUGGGUUUAAAGGGUCCGUAGGCGGUUUGGUAAGUCAGUGGUGAAAGCCCAUCGCUCAACGGUGGAACGGCCAUUGAUACUGCCAGACUUGAAUUAUUAGGAAGUAACUAGAAUGAUGUAGUGUAGCGGUGAAAUGCUUAGAGAUUACAUGGAAUACCAAUUGCGAAGGCAGGUUACUACUAAUUGGAUUGACGCUGAUGGACGAAAGCGUGGGUAGCGAACAGG
RNAcentral lists this ribosomal RNA (255 nucleotides) under uncultured bacterium. Its description in RNAcentral is "partial 16S ribosomal RNA". It matches the Rfam family "Bacterial small subunit ribosomal RNA", at positions 524 to 776 of the family's 1533-position model. The record is from RNAcentral.